Molecule: ribosomal RNA, 430 nt
Filed under: Pseudomonadota bacterium
Lineage: Bacteria; Pseudomonadati; Pseudomonadota
Description: Proteobacteria bacterium partial 16S ribosomal RNA
Rfam family: Bacterial small subunit ribosomal RNA
Source: RNAcentral
UGGGGAAUAUUGGACAAUGGGGGGAACCCUGAUCCAGCCAUGCCGCGUGUGUGAAGAAGGCCUUAUGGUUGUAAAGCACUUUAAGCGAGGAGGAGGGUACUGGUAUUAAUACUACCAGGUACUGGACGUUACUCGCAGAAUAAGCACCGGCUAACUCUGUGCCAGCAGCCGCGGUAAUACAGAGGGUGCGAGCGUUAAUCGGAUUUACUGGGCGUAAAGCGUGCGUAGGCGGCUAAUUGAGUCGGAUGUGAAAUCCCCGAGCUUAACUUGGGAAUUGCAGUAGAUACUGGUUAGCUAGAGUGUGGGAGAGGAUGGUAGAAUUCCAGGUGUAGCGGUGAAAUGCGUAGAGAUCUGGAGGAAUACCGAUGGCGAAGGCGGCCAUCUGGCCUAACACUGACGCUGAGGUACGAAAGCAUGGGGAGCAAACAGG